UGUUAGCUUUCACAAGCACGAAAACCUUGAAUUGAGCUAUUGAAGUAGGUGGCUCUCUGGCGUCCUCCAUUGUGUGUCGUGUGGUUUAUGCCAUCAACUAUUUGUUUGAAACAAUAUCUCCUUACCGCGAGGCAGAUUCAAAGUACAUCUUGUAGAAAAAUACAACUUUAAAAGUCUUCUCUUCAUAAACCGGUAAACAAAUUUUACGAACAUAUUCUUGUAUCAACUUAUCAAUAAUCAAUCAAUAUUACAAUUGCAUUAGUUUAUAGGCCUGCAACAAUUGCUGCCGGAACCUGCGCUGUCCUGAAAAUGAGAAAAGAACAGAGGAACAAUACAGGAGGGUUUAGACAUGGCAAUGGACAAGGUCAACGAGGUCGUGGUCAACAAGGUCGGGUUCAACAAGGUCAAGGUCAAGAAAGUCGAAACACAUGGAUAGGUCGAGGAGGUAGAUACGUCUGCUUUGGGUUUUGGAAUGUCAACUGUUGGAAUCCAAAUGCAAAUACAGACAAUUUUUACUUAAGACAACAAUGUAUUGAUUAUUGAAAUUUUGAUGUUAUAGGUAUUUGUGAAACUCAUCUAACAGUUUAAAAUGUUAUUGAUCUACCAGGAUACAUUUACUUUGGUUACAAUAGAAAAACUUUACAUGUAAAUGCUACGAGUGGAUCGGGGGGAGUUGGGUUUUUAGUUGUAAAAGACUUGGCAGAUAGUUUUUAUAUCAAUGUGCACGAUGACAGCUAUGAAUUUAUUUUAUGGUUUGAAUUACUAAGUUACAGUCGGGCUUUUCAUUGUAUAGCUGUGUAUAGCCAAAUAAUUGUCUAGACAUGUUGAUGCUUAUAAAUUUUAUGAUACUCUGUUAACAAUUGUAUACUCAUAUCAGAACUAUGGUCCAUUAAUUAUAUGUGGAGACUUUAAUAGUAUAAUUGGUGAUUCUGAUGAUUUCAUUGUUGGUAUAGACGCCAUACUCGGUAGAAAUGUAGUUGAUUUUACAACAAAUGUAUAUGGUGAUAAACUUUUACAAUUUUUAA
Dreissena polymorpha is the source of this 1025-nucleotide long non-coding RNA. RefSeq lists it as uncharacterized. The record is from RefSeq and is a predicted model, not a curated record. The transcript has 2 exons. NCBI's taxonomy places the organism in Eukaryota, Metazoa, Mollusca, Bivalvia, Myida, Dreissenidae.